Taeniopygia guttata (zebra finch) is the source of this 6610-nucleotide non-coding RNA. The record is from RefSeq and is a predicted model, not a curated record. NCBI's taxonomy places the organism in Eukaryota, Metazoa, Chordata, Aves, Passeriformes, Estrildidae.
GCACCACCCCACUAAUUUUAAGUGCUGAUGAUUUUUCUGUCUGGGCUGGAGUCAGCUGGGGACCAAGAGCCAUCUGGGACUGAACGAAACUCAGGGUUUCUCAGAGCUUCUGCUGUAAAGAGUGUGACAUAAACACACCCUAAAACUGAAGCACAGUCCUCUGAUCUACCUUGGGGAUUAGCAAGGAACACUGCAGGCUGUGGCUGGGGACUGCUUAAGCUUUACUGGAAGCUAUGAGGUCUGUCCAGGUCCCCUGCAUCAGAGGUACAUGGUGGAGUUUUCCCAACUGGAAACCUGUGCUGGGGCUCGAGCUGGACAGCAUUUUGGGAAGGUAUGAGUGAUGUGGGAUACCUGAGAUCCUGUUGAGGCCUAUGAGGUAUGUGGGGACUCUUGUCAGCUUGCUAAUGUUGAAGGUCAGAUGCUUGAGCUCUGAGUGGGGUAAAGAAAGACUUUUAGACAGUCAAGGAGGCUUUCUUGUUGUCCUGAUCUCCCAAAAAUGUCAUAUUAAAGAAAUUAUUAGACCUGGUGUCUUGAUGGAGGAAUAGUGCUCGGGAAUAAGUAAGCAAAGUGAGCAGGGUCAGGCUUAUGAGUGCACCAUCUCGGGACAGUCAGCAGGCAGGGCAAAAGUGACUUAUCACCUGAAUGGAAGGGAAUGGUGUCUACAGAAGAGAGCUCUUUGCAGGCAGCUUUUUUUGGUGUGUGUGCUAAAGUCUGUUGUUUGAGGAAGAGCAAACAGACCCCUGGCACGGGUGAAUUCCACAUGUGAGGCUCUGUGGCUUGGAGCACCACUGAUCACAUUGCUCACCCCGUGGAUCGAGUCUGAGUCAGCACUUUCCACAAAGUGUUCAGUGAGGAGCACUCUGAUCUCUUAAUAAAUAUUAGCAGUACAGUAACAGCAGUGCAGUGCAAUGUUCAACAGUCAGUUACUUGAAGGGCUGCUUUAUCAAGUAAGAAUGUGUAAAAGAUUUUCUUGGAUUCUUGUGUCAUUGCUUAGGCUGGAAUGGUUGCUGCAAGAAUCACAGUGUUAACUCUGGCUAUAUCCCAAGCUGAGUAAAUGUAAUUUUUAACCAUCUACACUGAGGGUUGAAUUUUCUGAAUGCACGUCUACACGGUGCUAAAUGCAACAUUAAAAAUGGUGUGUGCCCAUGGCAUUGACAAUCUCUGUUGACUUUAUGGGGAAACACAGUGCCUCAAAUAGAACAGAACUACCUCUCCAUGUUCUUUUUUUACUCCCUCAUCCCACCCAGACCUGCUCUCUGGUAAAAGGUAAAACUCUGCACCGUUUAUUCCUGUUGUGAACAGCUGCUGUACUUUAAGAAAGUAACUGAAAUCUUCUACUCACUCAGUUGAAUGUGACAUUCUUCCGAAAAUCAGCCCAGGUUCACUCCAGGGUGGCUGCCUCUCCCAGUUGGGUGAAGGAGUAAUUCUGCUCUUUAGUUUGCACCAAGGUGGCAGAAAGCAGACGUGGAUUUGAGCACUGCUGUCUCACACUGAGCAGCAUGAGAAUCCUUUUUGAGAAGCCUGGUUGCAACUGUGAGGAGCUGCUGGUGGCUCCAGCCACUGCUUGCUGUGAGCAGAGGUGACUUCUGUACCUCUCCUGUUGCCAAGGGUUCUGGUGCUGACUGCAAGCAGUUAUCACUGUUUUCCUGCUGCUGUUGCAGCCGUUUUUGCUUGGCACCAGCAGUCAUCUCUACCUAGCUGGCAGGUUUGGAGGGCCCUGGAGGUGUAAUGCAGUGCUGUUGCAACAGAAUUCUAGAUGCCUGAUUGAAACUAACCAAGCCAACAUAAGAAUUAAAUUCCUUAUACAGAAGUCAUUACCACAGGGGAGUGCAGUUGUAGUGAAAGCAUUUGAGGCUGCAAGGAAAGAUCACAUUAAAAUGUUCUUCAGUGAUGCACAAAUAGGUAGUCAGCACCACCUCAGAACACCCAAUUCUUGAGUGGGUACUUGAGGAGCUUACUUUUCCUGGCUUAUUCUACAUCAUGGGAAAAAAAAAAGGAGAUUGGGUCAUUUUAUUCUGGAAAGCAUUUUUCCUGUCUCUUUGGCUGUCACAUGUAUUUAACUUUAGUGCCCUCAAGGACAAUGUGGUGGAUCAGCAUGCUAAGGUCUACAGUCUACAGCCUGUAGUUUUUCAUUUCACAUUGCUUUAAGAAUGGUCCUCUUUGUUUCCAUUUUGAGCCACAGCUGAAUUCUUACAUGUUGUCUGAUCUUCAGGCUCAAAUACCCAAGAGAAUAGGCAGCAGUGAAUCAACCCUCUGUGUGCUUUCUAGCAGGUAGUCUAGCAAAGAAGGCAGUAUGCUUCUUAUUUCUUUAAAUUGAUCAGGGUUUGAAGGAAAAUACUUUAAUAAAAGUCUCAUGAAUGAUUAUUUUCUUCCUGCUGAUGAUUCUGAAUUUCAUGCAGAAAUAUAAGAACCUUUUAAGAGACCCCUGUGGGUUUAAACCCAAUUCUUUAGCUUUAUAAUUAAAGCUCAUUGUCUUUAUGCUAUCCUACACCUUAUGAGGAGGAUCACCUUUCUAAUUACACAGUACCAGGAGGUCUGUCACAUGCUUUUGCUCAGCAUUAUGGUUCACAGUUGCUCUAUUUUUUUUCUUCUCCUUCUCCUUCUUCCAUAGAUUCAAUAUUAUGUUUUGGAAAUUGAACAUAAUGAUUUUUUUUUUUUCUUGAGGCCAGAUGUUUCGCUCUGCUCUGUUAAGUCAUAUUGACAUAUUGCCAUGAAAUAGAAACAACUGCUAGUUUUAACAUUGCUCUGUAUCUUUAUUAAGAGGUAUGUCUCAUGAAUCUUAAUUCCCCACAUAUAUGCUAUCUUCCUUUCUCCUCCCCUCUCCCCCAUUACACUUCUUUCUUUUCCUGCCUAAAGAAGGAGGAAUAUUAAAAUUUCCUUGCUGUUCUGUCUGAGUGGUUAAUGAGGUUCUAGAUAGCGUAAUGAAUAUGCAGCGCUAUUGAUUCCGUGCGCGCGCGCGCGUGCGUUUGUGUGUGCGUGUCUUUAAUCACAGCUGGAAUGCAAAAUCAGGCUCCACCUUUCAACUCUAUCUCCAUCAUGCUGAGAGAGUGAGAGAGAGCGAGACUGAGACUGCUAGACAGCUCGAAAGAGAUUGCAGCUCAGAUGUCCUGGAAAACAGCAAAUCCCUCAGACCUGGCAGAUUCCGUUACCAUGAGAACUGCAGAUAUUUCCAUUGUGAUGGCUUGCUCUAGCAGCCAUCUGUUACACCCAUUUGAUUAGGAAGUACAGUUCAGCUUGUAUGGGAUUUUCACUGCACCUUAUCCCAUGGCAGCAUACAGAAACUCUCUCUCUCUCUCUCUCUCUUUUUAUAUGCUAAACUCAAUGUUUUUAAAGUGCUGUAAUUUACUGGGGCUGAAGGCAUUUAAUGAAAUGCUGGGAGGAGGUCACUGAGGGACAGUAUCUCUGAGAAGAAAGAAGCACAUGAGAUAUGUGAAGGGGAUUAGCAUCCAGUAUAUAAAUAAGAUCAGCCCAGAAAUUAGCUGUAUUUAGCAAUUCCUCAUCCUUGCCAGGGAGAGGAGCUUGAUAUACAGACCUCAUGAAGCCAUAAUAAAAUUAGUAAUUGCCUCCUGUUAGUUAAUCCCACUCCAUAUAUAUUUAUUGUAUGCCUGAAAUAAAUGCAUACAGCAGAUAUAUUUCAGGUCUUCUGUAAAAAAGGCGAAGGUGAUGACUCUCCCCAGAUGCCUGAAGUGGUGCAGUGGCUGCACUGUGUAACGAUUAGAUUAGCUCUAAAAAUUUAAUGGUGUCAUUUGACUUUUCAUAGACGCAGAACAACCUUAAACUUUCUUGGAGGUUUUCUGUGAUUUACUGAUUAAAACAAUUGUUUGGAGUAGUUGAGUCCCUCGGUGUAAAUUAGUGGUGAAGGAAAUGGUAAUGGCACAUCAAAUGGAUAUAAAAACAAAGGAGUCCCCUUCAAUUAAAACUCUCCAGACAUUCUUCCUAAGUGGCUGGCAUUCCAGAUUCAGGGUAAUCUUAUGUGUGGCAUAGUUGCCUCGAGUAUCUUAAAAUGACUGAAGGUCUUGUAAACUCAGUGAAGCUAAUUAAAUGCUCACACACUGAAAUGAAUUUCUGAUUGCUGCUAAGGAGGCAUUGAGGUCAGCUCCUCUUUUCAUUGCCCACACUUUAUGGCCAAUGCCAGAUACUAAAUAAAUCAGAUCCUCAGAAUCAGGGGCUCUGUGGUUUUGUUCCUCUUAUACAUUCUCCCACCCGGCUGAACAUAAUUCCUUAUCCGUCUUCAUCUCGGCAUGAAAAGUUUUCUCUUCUAUUGUUUUUCCUCACAUAGCACCAGAUUACCAUGGAGAAGACUAUGAUAUCAUAAGAAAUGAAUGAGCAUGUUUCUCACCAUGGGUGAAAUAUACAUUCCAGACCUAAUAAAGUCAGGAAUCAUGCAAUGGGCCUGGUAAAAUGAGCUGCUUAGUUAGUGUAAAUAGAAAUGGUUCUUCUUUAGGUCUCUGCUUCAGCAAAGUAAGUUCUUAGGCACAUGGAGACACAUAAGAACAUGUUUAAUAGCUUUUUGGAAUAGGGAUUGUUCUUAAAAUGUUUUGCUGCAUCUGGGCCCACAAACUCUUUUCUCAAAAAAGACAAUUUUUUAUAAUAAUAAAAGAUUUUCUUGUUGAUCAUCUUUGCAGCAAAUUAGAGCUUUCACUUCUUGCAGCCUCCCAUCUCACAUAAUCCUGGAGUCUGAGCUAGAGAGAAGAGAGUCCUUUUUUUUUUUUCUUGCUUCAGACAGGGCACUUGUUUUAUGAAUGUGGUAUCUGCCUUUGACAGGCAGCAGAUGUAUGGGAGCCCUGAAAUCUGAAACAAUAAAUACCAUUCAGAGUCUCACCACUGAACCUUCUUAUAGUACUGCCUUUGUUAAAUGAAACAUUUACAGGAAUACCAUCCCCCCCUUCCCACCCACCUUCAAGGCUAGGAUCUGAACCAUGUUUUUAAAGUAAAGGUUAAGUACCUGAGGCAUGAACAGUUGACAUACAAAAGAAACUAAAGUAAAUUUAUCAUUCGUUUGCCAGCUAUGAGGUGUGUCGAGGGCUUUUUCUUUCUCUUUGUAAUGCAUGAGAAAACAAACCUGGGAAGCGUAUGCAAGGAAUAUUUCUUUUCUACACUGGAAUGUUAACAUUUGCACCUUCUGACUUAAUACUGUGUAUUUCUUCAGAGUCAUCAAUCUCUUGAGAGUCAUCUUGCCAUCUGUACCAGCAUUGCUCCAGGCUUCCAUAUGAAAGUCCAAUCUGGCGGUAUAAAUACUGGAUAAUGAAGACAAUGGCAGAGUCUUUACGCUGCACACCACUGCUGACCCCAGAAGCGACCCACAGGAACUACUGGCAAAAGGAGUGAAAAGGUAUUUCAGCUUGUAGGCAUUAGAAACUCUCUUCAUUAAUAGCCUUUUUGCAGACUUUUCAGAUAGAUUUCCUGUCAUUGUGAUGAGGAUAUAUUUGUAACGAGUCCCUUAAGUAAAUGGCAGUGGAUAAUUAAUUGAACUAACUAGGACUUUCCAUACUGUAUUUUUUUUCUUUUUUUUUUUUCUUUUAUUUCCUUUUCUUUUUCUUUUCUUUCCCUUUUUUUUUUUUUUUUUUUUUUUGGGGUGGGAAGGAGGGAAGACUUCCAGAUGGUCUCAUGUCCUCUGUGCUGGGUGUACAGCUCUUUGCUAUCUGUUGGUCAAGUAUUUCAGCCCUAAUUCAAAUAAAACUCUUAGGCAUUCUAUUGAGGGAGAUAGAUUUUUUUGUUUUGGCUGGCAUCAGACUGAUGGCACUUCUCUGGGCAAGGGGGUUACUACCCUGAGCCUCAUCACACUGAAAAAUUGUUGCUGAACCUGAUCUUGCUGGAAGAGGCAGCUCAGAAAACAACAUUUGGGUCAGUACUGAUAUCCACACUUUUGAUUAUAUGACCAUAAUUCUGGUUAUAAUUCACCUUGUCACUCCCAUCAUGCAGACUCCAGUCUCCCAGACAUGUGACACCAGUGGAAAUCUACAGUGAAGCUAAAUUAGGCUUAUUAUUGUAUUUCAUUCUUAGAUUGCCUUCUUAGCACUGGCCUUCAGCCUCUUCAAUUAAAAGUUUGCAAACAUGCAUUCCUUAAGUAAUUUUUGACCUUCACAGCUGGUUAUGAGGCAACUGUAGUUGAAAUUUUUGAGCAAAAUCUAGUUCUCUCUCUCAAAGGCCUCCACUUUUUCAGUUUUGGAAAUGACUUUUAACUUUGGAAAUGACUAUUAAUUUUGCAGCUAUUGGGACAACUCUCCAAAGGAAAAAAAUUUCUUGAUGAACAUGCACAAUUUUCCUCUGCACGUCAAAGAGUUCAGAUUUUCACUCCACUUGUCAGAGACUACUGAUAAUUACUUUUAUUAACCAUCUCACAAAUAACAAAUGUGUGAGGUCAAAGAAGUCUCAUUUGAACUUUGUGGUUUCAUGUGUGAAAAAUAAAUGCAUUUAAGGGUAACCAUGAGUGCUGGGUAAGGAGCCAUAAUUUUCUCAGUAAAACAGAACCCAUUAAGAAGAUAAAGAUAUUGGGGUGCUGCUCAAGUUCUCCUGAGAUUGUGUUCUGACAAUUGUUUUCAGGUGUGUUUAAAACUACUUGUCUCUGUAUGCUGCUUUGAGGAAUAAAUAUGCUUUACUACGUCUUUAA